This 434-nucleotide ribosomal RNA is filed under the name uncultured bacterium. Its description in RNAcentral is "partial 16S ribosomal RNA". It matches the Rfam family "Bacterial small subunit ribosomal RNA", at positions 29 to 507 of the family's 1533-position model. The record is from RNAcentral.
AGCGAACGCUGGCGGCAGGCCUAACACAUGCAAGUCGAACGAACCUUUCGGGGUUAGUGGCGUACGGGUGAGUAACACGUGGGAACGUGCCUUUAGGUUCGGAAUAACUCAGGGAAACUUGUGCUAAUACCGAAUGUGCCCUUCGGGGGAAAGAUUAAUCGCCUUUAGAGCGGCCCGCGUCUGAUUAGCUAGUUGGUUGAGGUAAUGGCUCACCAAGGCGACGAUCAGUAGCUGGUCUGAGAGGAUGAUCAGCCACAUUGGGACUGAGACACGGCCCAAACUCCUACGGGAGGCAGCAGUGGGGAAUCUUGCGCAAUGGGCGAAAGCCUGACGCAGCCAUGCCGCGUGAAUGAUGAAGGUCUUAGGAUUGUAAAAUUCUUUCACCGGGGACGAUAAUGACGGGACCCGGAGAAGAAGCCCCGGCUAACUUCGUG